UAGGGAAUCUUCGGCAAUGGACGAAAGUCUGACCGAGCAACGCCGCGUGAGUGAAGAAGGUUUUCGGAUCGUAAAACUCUGUUGGUAGAGAAGAACGUUGGUGAGAGUGGAAAGUUCACACAGUGACGGUAACUUACCAGAAAGGGACGGCUAACUACGUGCCAC
Molecule: ribosomal RNA, 165 nt
Filed under: uncultured bacterium
Lineage: Bacteria
Description: partial 16S rRNA
Rfam family: Bacterial small subunit ribosomal RNA
Source: RNAcentral